CCUACGGGAGGCAGCAGUGAGGAAUAUUGGUCAAUGGACGAGAGUCUGAACCAGCCAAGUAGCGUGAAGGAUGACUGCCCUAUGGGUUGUAAACUUCUUUUAUAAAGGAAUAAAACGAGGCACGUGUGCCUUUUUGCAUGUACUUUAUGAAUAAGGAUCGUCUAACUCCGUUCCAGCAGCCGCGGUAAUACGGAGGAUCCGAGCGUUAUCCGGAUUUCUUGGGUUUAAAGGGAGCGUAGAUGGGUUGUUAAGUCAGUUGUGAAAGUUUGCGGCUCAACCGUAAAAUUGCAAUUGAUACUGGCAGUCUUGAGUACAGUUGAGGUAGGCGGAAUUCGUGGUGUAGCGGUGAAAUGCUUAGAUAUCACGAAGAACCCCGAUUGCGAAGGCAGCUUACUAAACUGUGACUGACAUUGAUGCUCGAAAGUGUGGGUAUCAAACAGGAUUAGAUACCCUAGUAGUC
Molecule: ribosomal RNA, 460 nt
Filed under: uncultured bacterium
Lineage: Bacteria
Description: partial 16S ribosomal RNA
Rfam family: Bacterial small subunit ribosomal RNA
Source: RNAcentral